GAUGAACGCUGGCGGCGUGCCUAACACAUGCAAGUCGAACGGAACUUUUACGGAUUGAGACUUCGGUCGAUUGAAGUUUAAGUUUAGUGGCGGACGGGUGAGUAACGCGUGAGUAACCUGCCUUUCACAGGGGGAUAACGUUUGGAAACGAACGCUAAUACCGCAUAACAUAGCGAGACCGCAUGAUCUUGCUAUCAAAGAUUUUAUCGGUGAAAGAUGGACUCGCGUCCGAUUAGGUAGUUGGUGAGGUAACGGCCCACCAAGCCGACGAUCGGUAGCCGGACUGAGAGGUUGAACGGCCACAUUGGGACUGAGACACGGCCCAGACUCCUACGGGAGGCAGCAGUGGGGAAUAUUGCACAAUGGGGGAAACCCUGAUGCAGCGACGCCGCGUGAGCGAUGAAGUAUUUCGGUAUGUAAAGCUCUAUCAGCAGGGAGAAAAUGACGGUACCUGACUAAGAAGCACCGGCUAAAUACGUG
RNAcentral lists this ribosomal RNA (480 nucleotides) under uncultured bacterium. RNAcentral describes it as "bacterial SSU rRNA". It matches the Rfam family "Bacterial small subunit ribosomal RNA", at positions 28 to 507 of the family's 1533-position model. The record is from RNAcentral.